This is a non-coding RNA of Schistosoma curassoni, 45 nucleotides long. Lineage: Eukaryota; Metazoa; Platyhelminthes; Trematoda; Strigeidida; Schistosomatidae. The record is from Rfam.
AUCCAGCUGAUGAGUCCCAAAUAAGGCGAAAUGCGCGUCAUGGAU